This 219-nucleotide ribosomal RNA is filed under the name Citrobacter freundii. RNAcentral's name for it is "partial 16S ribosomal RNA". It matches the Rfam family "Bacterial small subunit ribosomal RNA", at positions 1 to 218 of the family's 1533-position model. The record is from RNAcentral. Lineage: Bacteria; Pseudomonadati; Pseudomonadota; Gammaproteobacteria; Enterobacterales; Enterobacteriaceae.
AAAUUGAAGAGUUUGAUCAUGGCUCAGAUUGAACGCUGGCGGCAGGCCUAACACAUGCAAGUCGAACGGUAGCACAGGGGAGCUUGCUCCUUGGGUGACGAGUGGCGGACGGGUGAGUAAUGUCUGGGAAACUGCCCGAUGGAGGGGGAUAACUACUGGAAACGGUAGCUAAUACCGCAUAACGUCGCAAGACCAAAGAGGGGGACCUUCGGGCCUCUU